This 480-nucleotide ribosomal RNA is filed under the name uncultured bacterium. RNAcentral's name for it is "bacterial SSU rRNA". It matches the Rfam family "Bacterial small subunit ribosomal RNA", at positions 29 to 502 of the family's 1533-position model. The record is from RNAcentral.
AGUUAACGCUGGCGGCGUGCCUAACACAUGCAAGUCGAGCGGUUUUUAGCCGGGUAGCAAUAUCUGGCUGAUGACAGCGGCAGACGGGUGAGUAUCACGUAGGAAAUCUUCCCUUGAGAGGAGAAUAACCUGCCGAAAGGUGGGCUAAUACUCCGUAAUAUUAUAUCGUGUUCGCAUGAUAUAAUCAAAGUAGCAAUACGCUUGAGGAUGAUCCUGCGCUCUAUCAGCUAGUUGGUGAGGUAACGGCUCACCAAGGCGACGACGGAUAGCCGGCCUUAAAGGGUGAUCGGCCACAAUGGCACUGAGACACGGGCCAUACUCCUNACGGGAGGCAGCAGUGAGGAAUUUUGGACAAUGGGGGAAACCCUGAUCCAGCGACGCCGCGUGAAGGAUGAAGGUCUUCGGAUUGUAAACUUCUUUUGGAAGGGAAGAAAAGCCCGCAAGGGAAUUGACGUACCCUCAGAAAAAGCCACGCUAACU